Non-coding RNA from Chiloscyllium plagiosum (whitespotted bambooshark), 230 nucleotides. The record is from RefSeq and is a predicted model, not a curated record. NCBI's taxonomy places the organism in Eukaryota, Metazoa, Chordata, Chondrichthyes, Orectolobiformes, Hemiscylliidae.
ACUUCCACUGUUGACCAAACACCCUCCUUCAUAACCAACGUCACACGCACAAAGACCAACUUAACUCGUGAUGACUACCAUUCUACAUCGCAAGCCGGACUUCAAGGUGGUGCGGACUUAACUGGUGUGACCAUCGUUGUGGUUUCGGUGCUUGUUGCAUUGGCAAUCAGUCUCGCCCUUGUCAUUUAUCGACGGAGCAGUGCUUUGCAACAAGAAACAGUCAGAGAGGU